UACGAAGGGGGCUAGCGUUGCUCGGAAUCACUGGGCGUAAAGCGCACGCAGGCGGAUUGAUAAGUCAGGGGUGAAAUCCCGGAGCUCAACUUCGGAAUUGCCUUUGAUACUGUCUGUCUUGAGUCCGGGAGAGGUGAGUGGAAUUCCUAGUGUAGAGGUGAAAUUCGUAGAUAUUAGGAAGAACACCAGUGGCGAAGGCGGCUCACUGGCCCGGUACUGACGCUCAUGUGCGAAAGCGUGGGGAGCAAACAGG
RNAcentral lists this ribosomal RNA (253 nucleotides) under uncultured bacterium. RNAcentral's name for it is "partial 16S ribosomal RNA". It matches the Rfam family "Bacterial small subunit ribosomal RNA", at positions 524 to 776 of the family's 1533-position model. The record is from RNAcentral.